ACGUGAUCUGAGUUCAGACCGGAGUAAUCCAGGUCAGUUUCUAUCUAUAAAAGAGUUUUUUCUAGUACGAAAGGACCGAAAAAACAUGGCCCAUACUUAAUGCAAGCCAUAAUUACUAACUUAUGACCAAAUCUCAAUAAGUACUUAAUCCACCACCAAACUCAAAAAAAGAGUA
Molecule: ribosomal RNA, 175 nt
Filed under: Osteocephalus buckleyi (Buckley's slender-legged treefrog)
Lineage: Eukaryota; Metazoa; Chordata; Amphibia; Anura; Hylidae
Description: partial 16S ribosomal RNA
Source: RNAcentral